GUGGAUAUAAAGUAAGUUUAAUGGAUGAAAUGCCUGGUGAGAUUGUAGGAAUCAAGAUCUUCAAUGAAAAAGAACUUGGGCGCAUGUUUUGUUGAGAGUUUGACUCUUGGGUUAUCAACGACCUUGAACAAAACAAUGUAUUUCAUCAUGGGUACACUACUAGCAGUCCUCCCAUUGUUAAUGUAAGCAUUCACGUACAUUUACAUAUUUUUUAUCACACUUUCACUAAACAUGUUUAGUUUUCUUUAACCUGAGUCUCAUAAAUUUAUUAUUCAUGGACUGAGUUUUUGGAGAUUGUCCGAGAGUUUGAUCAUGAACAGAAAUGAGCAUUUAUGCGGUUUGUGACCAGGGCACCUCGACUUCCACCGGAGGGUUGGCAUCUCUCACUCUGAUGUUAACUACUGCCCGAAAGCAUUGAAGCGACCAUGCAGACAUAGACCUAGAAAGUGUCAUGACUUGUGUUAAUUAUCUGAAGCUACCUCCUUAUUCAUAAAAAGUAACUCAUUGGUUGUUUAUACUAUUUCAAUUUUAGAAACUGGUUUCUUUUGAGCCUAAUUAAUUAUUCUUCGACACUCUGUUGAAUUUAAGGAAAUAAUGAAAGAGAAGUUGUUAUAUGCCAUAACAAAGGAUCAAGGAUCUUUAUAUC
Molecule: long non-coding RNA, 646 nt
Organism: Vigna unguiculata (cowpea)
Lineage: Eukaryota; Viridiplantae; Streptophyta; Magnoliopsida; Fabales; Fabaceae
Source: RefSeq, a predicted model, not a curated record